UGGCGGACGGGUGAGUAACGCGUGGGGAACCUGCCCUGUACAGGGGGAUAACACUUAGAAAUAGGUGCUAAUACCGCAUAAGCGCACAGUAUCGCAUGAUACAGUGUGAAAAACUCCGGUGGUACAGGAUGGACCCGCGUCUGAUUAGCUGGUUGGCGGGGUAACGGCCCACCAAGGCGACGAUCAGUAGCCGGCCUGAGAGGGUGAACCGGCCACAUUGGGACUGAGACACGGCCCAGACUCCUACGGAAGGCAGCAG
Molecule: ribosomal RNA, 259 nt
Filed under: uncultured bacterium
Lineage: Bacteria
Description: partial 16S ribosomal RNA
Rfam family: Bacterial small subunit ribosomal RNA
Source: RNAcentral